AGGACGAACGCUGGCGGCGUGCUUAACACAUGCAAGUCGAGCGGAAAGGCCCUUCGGGGUACUCGAGCGGCGAACGGGUGAGUAACACGUGAGCAACCUGCCCUUAGCUCCGGGAUAGCUCCGGGAAACCGGAAUUAAUACCGGAUACAACACCGGCCGACAUCGGCCGGUGUGGAAAGAAUUUCGGCUAGGGAUGGACUCGCGGCCUAUCAGCUAGUUGGUGGGGUAAAGGCCUACCAAGGCGACGACGGGUAGCCGGCCUGAGAGGGCGACCGGGCCACGACUGGGACUGAGACACGGCCCAGACUCCUACGGGAGGCAGCAGUGGGGAAUCUUGCGCAAUGGGCGAAAGCCUGACGCGGCGACGCCGCGUGGGGGAUGAAGGCCUUCGGGUUGUAAACCCUUUCAGCAGGACGAAGCGAAAGUGACGGUACCUGCAGAAGAAGCGCCGGCUAACUACGUGCCAGCAGCCGC
RNAcentral lists this ribosomal RNA (474 nucleotides) under uncultured bacterium. RNAcentral describes it as "SSU rRNA". It matches the Rfam family "Bacterial small subunit ribosomal RNA", at positions 26 to 518 of the family's 1533-position model. The record is from RNAcentral.